AUAUAUAUAUAUAUAUAUAUGUAUGUAUGUAUACAUACACAUAUGAAUUGUAUUCGGUAUACCAGUAAUGUUUGCGUUGAUGUAAUAUUAUUUGUUCAACUUUACGAUUGGUAUCGUCAUCAUCAUCACCACCAUCAUCAUCAUCAUCAUCAUCACCACCAUCAUCAUCAUCAUCAUCCAUCAUCAUCAUCAUCAUCAUCAUCACCGUUAUCGUCCUCAUAAUCCUCAUCAUUUACAUCUGUUUAUCAUCCAUUGUUACAUGGACGGGGGGAGAAUGUUUUUUUUUUCCUUCCUCUUCUGUAUCCGACCUCUUCACCACUUCUCACGUCUUCCUCAGUCUUCCUCCAACACAAGCUCCCUCUGUACAGGGUUGCAUGGCAACUUCUUCACUCGAACUCCCUUCCCGUCAUCCUCCGUGUGCAUCACGUGAUCAUAUCAGUGCAAUCUCUGUUGCACAUUUACAGCGGAUUCUUUUUGUUUUUUGUUUUUUGUUUUUUUUUUACAUCUGUUUUUUUUUCUUCUCUCCUCAAAUCUGCGCUGUCGUUUAAUGCACGCCAGUAUUUACGCAACCCCGCGGAGCAUGCUUAGCUCAACUCUAAUUCAAGCCUUCGCCCCGCACAUCCUCUGCACAAUUAAUGCCAAAUGCGUCCGACUGUGAAACCGUAACAUGCAUGGAAACAUAGAAAACACCAAAAAAGAAAAGAACAAAAGAAAAAGAAAAAGAA
Long non-coding RNA from Octopus sinensis (East Asian common octopus), 725 nucleotides. RefSeq lists it as uncharacterized. The transcript is spliced from 2 exons. The record is from RefSeq and is a predicted model, not a curated record. NCBI's taxonomy places the organism in Eukaryota, Metazoa, Mollusca, Cephalopoda, Octopoda, Octopodidae.